GGUUCCGGGGCGUACUCUGAUCCGCGCGUGCGCUGGGGGAAGCCGGUCGAAUGCCGGCGCUGACCCGCAACGGUAGGGCGUCCCGAGGACGUCGAGCCCGAACACCCGGCGGACGUGGACAAGCCAC
Molecule: non-coding RNA, 127 nt
Filed under: Actinosynnema mirum
Lineage: Bacteria; Bacillati; Actinomycetota; Actinomycetes; Pseudonocardiales; Pseudonocardiaceae
Also listed under: 1 other name
Source: RNAcentral